UGAAGAUUCUGGAACAGCUCUGCCGCGA
Molecule: non-coding RNA, 28 nt
Filed under: Mus musculus (house mouse)
Lineage: Eukaryota; Metazoa; Chordata; Mammalia; Rodentia; Muridae
Source: RNAcentral